AAUAGAUACCCGGGUAGUCCACGCCGUAAACGAUGAGUGCUAAGUGUUAGAGGGUUUCCGCCCUCUAGUGCUGCAGCUAACGCAUUAAGCACUCCGCCUGGGGAGUACGGUCGCAAGACUGAAACUCAAAGGAAUUGACGGGGGCCCGCACAAGCGGUGGAGCAUGUGGUUUAAUUUGAAGCAACGCGAAGAACCUACCAGGUCUUGACAUCCUCUGACAACUCUAGAGAUAGAGCGUUCCCCCUUCGGGGGGACAGAGUGACAGGUGGUGCAUGGUUGUCGUCAGCUCGUGUCGUGAGAUGUUGGGUUAAGUCCCGCAACGAGCGCAACCCUUGAUCUUAGUUGCCAGCAUUUAGUUGGGCACUCUAAGGUGACUGCCGGUGACAAACCGGAGGAAGGUGGGGAUGACGUCAAAUCAUCAUGCCCCUUAUGACCUGGGCUACACACGUGCUACAAUGGAUGGUACAAAGGGCUGCAAGACCGCGAGGUCAAGCCAAUCCCCAUAAAAACCCAUUCUCAGUUCGGAUUGU
Molecule: ribosomal RNA, 530 nt
Filed under: uncultured bacterium
Lineage: Bacteria
Description: bacterial SSU rRNA
Rfam family: Bacterial small subunit ribosomal RNA
Source: RNAcentral